GCUGGGUGUGGUAGCACACGCCUGUAAUCCCAGCAGCUCGGGAGGCUGAGACAGGAGGAUUGCAAGUUCAAAGCCAGUCUCAG
Molecule: small RNA, 83 nt
Filed under: Marmota monax (woodchuck)
Lineage: Eukaryota; Metazoa; Chordata; Mammalia; Rodentia; Sciuridae
Source: RNAcentral